GAUGAAGAACGUAGUGAAACGCGAUAAGUAAUGUGAAUUGCAGAAUCCAGUGAAUCAUCGAAUCUUUGAACGCACAUUGCGCCCGCCAGCAUUCUGGCGGGCAUGCCUGUUCGAGCGUCAUUUCAACCCUCGACCUCCCCUUGGGGAGGUCGGCGUUGGGGACUGGCAGCACACCGCCGGCCCUGAAAUGGAGUGGCGGCCCGUCCGCGGCGACCUCUGCGCAGUAAUACAGCUCGCACCGGGACCCCGACGCGGCCACGCCGUAAAACACCCAACUUCUGAACGUUGACCUCGAAUCAGGUAGGACUACCCGCUGAACUUAAGCAUAUCAAUAAGCGGAGGA
RNAcentral lists this unclassified non-coding RNA (343 nucleotides) under soil metagenome. RNAcentral's name for it is "partial contains 5.8S ribosomal RNA, internal transcribed spacer 2, and large subunit ribosomal RNA". The stretch from base 1 to 120 matches the Rfam family "5.8S ribosomal RNA", at positions 35 to 154 of the family's 154-position model. The record is from RNAcentral.